GUUUGAUCCUGGCUCAGGACGAACGCUGGCGGCGUGCCUAAUACAUGCAAGUCGAACGCUUCUUUUUCCACCGGAGCUUGCUCCACCGGAAAAAGAGGAGUGGCGAACGGGUGAGUAACACGUGGGUAACCUGCCCAUCAGAAGGGGAUAACACUUGGAAACAGGUGCUAAUACCGUAUAACAAUCGAAACCGCAUGGUUUUGAUUUGAAAGGCGCUUUCGGGUGUCGCUGAUGGAUGGACCCGCGGUGCAUUAGCUAGUUGGUGAGGUAACGGCUCACCAAGGCCACGAUGCAUAGCCGACCUGAGAGGGUGAUCGGCCACAUUGGGACUGAGACACGGCCCAAACUCCUACGGGAGGCAGCAGUAGGGAAUCUUCGGCAAUGGACGAAAGUCUGACCGAGCAACGCCGCGUGAGUGAAGAAGGUUUUCGGAUCGUAAAACUCUGUUGUUAGAGAAGAACAAGGAUGAGAGUAACUGUUCAUCCCUUGACGGUAUCUAACCAGAAAGCCACGGCUAACUACGUGCCAGCAGCCGCGGUAAUACGUAGGUGGCAAGCGUUGUCCGGAUUUAUUGGGCGUAAAGCGAGCGCAGGCGGUUUCUUAAGUCUGAUGUGAAAGCCCCCGGCUCAACCGGGGAGGGUCAUUGGAAACUGGGAGACUUGAGUGCAGAAGAGGAGAGUGGAAUUCCAUGUGUAGCGGUGAAAUGCGUAGAUAUAUGGAGGAACACCAGUGGCGAAGGCGGCUCUCUGGUCUGUAACUGACGCUGAGGCUCGAAAGCGUGGGGAGCAAACAGGAUUAGAUACCCUGGUAGUCCACGCCGUAAACGAUGAGUGCUAAGUGUUGGAGGGUUUCCGCCCCUCAGUGCUGCAGCUAACGCAUUAAGCACUCCGCCUGGGGAGUACGACCGCAAGGUUGAAACUCAAAGGAAUUGACGGGGGCCCGCACAAGCGGUGGAGCAUGUGGUUUAAUUCGAAGCAACGCGAAGAACCUUACCAGGUCUUGACAUCCUUUGACCACUCUAGAGAUAGAGCUUCCCCUUCGGGGGCAAAGUGACAGGUGGUGCAUGGUUGUCGUCAGCUCGUGUCGUGAGAUGUUGGGUUAAGUCCCGCAACGAGCGCAACCCUUAUUGUUAGUUGCCAUCAUUCAGUUGGGCACUCUAGCAAGACUGCCGGUGACAAACCGGAGGAAGGUGGGGAUGACGUCAAAUCAUCAUGCCCCUUAUGACCUGGGCUACACACGUGCUACAAUGGGAAGUACAACGAGUYGCGAAGUCGCGAGGCUAAGCUAAUCUCUUAAAGCUUCUCUCAGUUCGGAUUGCAGGCUGCAACUCGCCUGCAUGAAGCCGGAAUCGCUAGUAAUCGCGGAUCAGCACGCCGCGGUGAAUACGUUCCCGGGCCUUGUACACACCGCCCGUCACACCACGAGAGUUUGUAACACCCGAAGUCGGUGAGGUAACCUUUUGGAGCCAGCCGCCUAAGGUGGGAUAGAUGAUUGGGGUGAAGUCGUAACAAGGUAGCCGUAUCGGAAGGUGCGGCUGGAUCACCU
This 1545-nucleotide ribosomal RNA is filed under the name Enterococcus faecium. Its description in RNAcentral is "bacterial SSU rRNA". It matches the Rfam family "Bacterial small subunit ribosomal RNA". The record is from RNAcentral. Lineage: Bacteria; Bacillati; Bacillota; Bacilli; Lactobacillales; Enterococcaceae.